GGGGCUCGAAUCAAAGUGCCCAACUACUCACCAUCUCGGAGGCCCUUAGGGGGUGUCUCAUUUGGUCCUCUGCCCUCCCCGGGAAGUCCAUCUUCUCUGACCCACCAUAUCCCUACUGUGGGAGACUCAGACUUUCCAGCUCCCCCGAGGCGAUCUCGGCGUCCUAGCCCCCUGGCAACCAGGCCACCACCAUCCCGGAGGACCUCCUCUCCUCUCAGAACUUCCCCUCAGCUCAGGGUGCCCCUGUCUACCUCAGUCCUUACACCUACCUCAGGGGAGCUGGCUCCCCCUGACCUGGCCCCAUCUCCCCUACCACCCUCUGAAG
RNAcentral lists this long non-coding RNA (325 nucleotides) under Rattus norvegicus (Norway rat). RNAcentral describes it as "long non-coding RNA NONRATT002511". The record is from RNAcentral. Lineage: Eukaryota; Metazoa; Chordata; Mammalia; Rodentia; Muridae.